AUAUUGAAAUAUAAGUGAACUUUUUUUCUGUGAUAAUAAGAACUAUAAUUAAACGAUUUUAGUGAAUUGUGUAUUCAUAAGAAGAAAACUUAACUAUUAAAUAAUGAUCGGUGUUUGAGAAAGUUUUAAUUAUAUAGAAUUAAUAAAUUUAAAACAUUUAGCGCAUACAAGUUUAAUUUAGUAUUUAUUGAUUUUUCAAUUGUUCAAUAUUGAUUAUUAUCAUUUAAUAGCUCUAACAAUGACUGGUUAUUGGAAAACUUCGAGGCAUCGCCGUAAACGUUGUUCUCAGUAGUAUGUUCUCGAUAGUGAAUAUAAAGUGAAUAUAAAGUGCGUGUAUAAAAGUGAAUCAAUCCGUAUGGUAUUACGGCGUCACUUUCUAAAAAAAAUUAAUAAUUUUCUUGAUUGAUUCGAGGUCCAGUAAGUGAGGAAAUCGAUCAGUGGUUCCUGUUGUAUGUAGUAACGAAAAUAAAAUAAUCGGUGAAAUUGUGGCUGAAGUGGUAAAACGGACAAAGAGAAAGACGGUUUCGGCAUGAUCUGUGGAGGUAACAAGAUCUCGUUAGAAAUAUUGGGCGGGGAGGAGGAGGCAUGGAAGCUGAAGCUGGUCGGCAGUCUCACCAUCAGAGGCUGCAGCUUACCCUGUCAUCCCCGGGAAUCCCCGGACUGGACGUCGUGAGAGCAUUGCAUCAGACUGUGAUAUCAUUGCGUUCUGCGCUGGAUUCCUCACGGGAAGAGCUUCGUCGUCUUAAGGAGAGGGUUGGUGAUUUUUCUGGCGAAAGCUACGUUAACGUUGUCGAGAGGCUCGCUCUUGAGAAUCACGUCCUUAGACGAAAGAUCCUAAGUAGGAACAGUGAGUUUUCUAGCGAUGCUGCUACAAGUCCGCCACCUCAGGCCCUCGUUUCUUCUUCACUCGCAGUAGAGGACGUCGAAGAUCUGUCAGAGGAAGUAGGCGUACUCAUGGACGAGUCCAGGGACGAACUAGUCGCGGAGGACAUGCCAGAGGCAUCUAAACCGGUGAUUGGGCCGCGUACCGACACCAACGCUGGAAAUAAUAAUAAUGAGAAUCCCGAUUAUUCGCAAUCCCGCACAACCGACAAGGUAUCCAAGAAUAAUGCGCAAUCCUUCCCGAAAUCGGAAUCUAAGGACAUCGGAUCGAAGUGCGCUAUGUCCAAGGACUCUGUUCCCGUUAAACCUUUAAUUGGAAUAUCUAGCAUCGAUUUGGACGACACGUUGAAAAACGAGGCUUCUGCUUUGACCAACACCAGACAAUCCAAAGACAUUGAGGAGGAGGAUGGGAUCGAGGUACAAAUUGAUCAUUUGGAGGUGCAAGAGAAGGAUCUCGAGGAUCUAAGCUUGAAAUCUGUCUCCGACGGAGACAACUCGGUGUUCAGCGAUAAUCCGGACACGCAGGUGUCGCAGCAAAAUCAACGUCAGAAUCAAACGGCGGAUCAACCGAAACCGAACGAUCAAUCCGAGAACGAAUCUGAAGAGCUCGACGACAUCGAGUUGAUAUUCACGACGGACGAGACUUGUCGCGAUCUCGGUCUUCAGGAGGACCUCGUCUCCAUAACGGAAACCGAAUCCUGGCAACAGGCUGUACCCGCUGGCCAACCGGUGUUGUUGAAAUACACAAAAUCGGCGGAAGGCGAGUCGUUGGUGUGCAACGGUGAGAAGACCAGCUCCGUCGAGGAGGCGGUUUCCUCGCAGAGUUCGAGUAUCGAUCGCGAGGAAAGCGUGGACAGAUUCGACGAAGGUUCUAGCACCAGAUUGAACAAAAUAUGGUCCCAGUGUUCGGUGUUGGUUGAAACGGAUAUCAGCAAGUGUGGAGUCGUCGAAGAGCCCGAACAUGCUACCAGACAUGCGGUUAGAAGGAACACUUUGGCUGCACCACCCACUGCCUACAGACCGAUCAUCCAUCGCGAAGCUCUGGCGGGUAGCCGACGAAAGAGCAUGGCACCACUGAGGCCAGUGAUGGACAGGAUCACGGGCGCAAGGCGGGAAUCUGGCGCCCAAACAGACAUUUCUGCGCUUCCAGCCCAUUGGCGUUCCGAGAGUUAUCUCGCGCAUAAAGUGGCUCAUACGUUCACCACGUUGCCCAGCAAAUUUGCUUUGCCGGCCGGGGUGCCUGGAAGGCUUCGAUUAUCCGAUAAAACCCGAGAGGCGAGAAGAGUGAUGCUGUCCGACAUCAGCUUCACCAGUAUGGUACCGGAACUGUCGAGAAGUGCCGAUCACCUCUGCCACGAUUCACACGCACAGACUUGCUUCGGUUCCCGAGGUUGCGGACUUCGUACGCCGGACGUGCACCGGCGCGAGUCGUUGGGCUCUCCCGCGGGAUUCUGGCCCCGUUGCAACCCCGCCACAGGGCUGCCGAGCCCCUGCGACUGUCGUCUCUCGACCGACCUUUACUCUUCUCGAUACCGCGGUUCAUUGUCCUCGAUCCCAUCGCCCGGAUUGGAGGUGGUCGGCGGUCCACCGCGUAGACACUCGUGGAGAGCGACAGCGGCGUCCUUCGACACUUGGAGAGUCCCUCUCGCCACUUCCACCCCGAGACCCACCUGGUCCUCUAUGCCCUCCUCUCCUACCCACGUGCACCCCCCCGCCGCGUCCUCGAAAACUUCUAAGAGCGUCCCUAAGAGAACCAGAUCGAAGGUCACCUUUCAAGAAUGCCCGAUGACGCGUGGCAGCUUGCCAAAUCUUCGCUCGGAUUUGGUGGGCGGCGAUAACAGCGGCGAUUCGACCGAGUCGUUGAUCGACGAGGCCGAGGAUUAUUUGCGACGGAGCAUCGACUCGAUGCUGACGAUAUCCAGUAGCGGCGUCAGUUCCGAUUACUGGAACAGACAGACAGCCAGGCGGAGACGUACACGCCGAUACUCCGAGCCGGAUCUAAUCCGUGACUGGCAUCCGCCACAGGAUGCCAGACCGUACCUGCCAAAGAUACCAAGAGAUCUAAAGCUGGAUCAUCUCGUGAAGAUUAUAUCGCCAGAGGGUAAAGUUCUUCAAGGGCGAGUGAGAUACGUGGGCCCCGUACCGGGCCGCGAGGAGACUCACGUAGGCGUGGAGUUGCCUUACUCGAAUGGCUGCUCCGAUGGCACGUUUCACGGAAGAAGAUUCUUCGAUUGCGAUCCCGAUCGAGCGAUCUUCGUCCCGUUCAAGAAAGUGAUUCUGGCCUGGUGCACCACUUGACCCGAGCCUCCGAGCAACCGAACAACUCCCCGAAUUCUAUUGUCCCAGUUCACCAUGUGAAUCGAAAAAACGGAGAAACCAGAGGUCAUCGACAUCGCUCGACUUCUUUUGAAUUUCUGCUGAAACGCAUUAAAACAUCGUUCUGGGAAUGACUGCACUAUAUUUCUUCAAACUCGAGUACAUCUGUGCAUAAUAUAUUUUAAAGAGAGGAGCGGCGCAAAAGAGCGCGCGAUACUCGGUGAAAAGCGAGUUGUUCGAUGUUUAAGAAAGAUGCAAAGAGAAAAAGGUAAGGAGAAAAUGACAAAGAGGAAAAGAUAAAAUAAGGAAUAGAGAAAGAAAAAGAGAAUUCCUAAUCGGAGGCUAUACACAUGUAUAUUAUAGUUGGAAAGAGUUUCUUUUUUUUUUUUUAAGUAUUUAAAAAGGUUAUAGGACACUCUGUACAAUUCGAGCUGUGUAUAAUCUUAAUCGCUGUGCAUUCGUGGAAGAAUAUAAUAAUAUUUAAACGCGUGUCUGUAUCCGUGUCUGUAUUUCUGUGCAACAAUGUAAAUGGCAUGAUUGCAGUUGCAGUUUAAUGGAUCUUAAAAGAGAAAAAAAAAAAAAAAAAAAAAAAAACAAAUAUAAGCUAACCAACUAACGGAAUUCUAGUUAUUAGGAUUUUAAUCAAGCGUCUUCGUCUUUAAAAGAUCUUUAAAGAUGGCGUGAGAAGAUAUCACCAUCGUUUCGAGAAAUAUUCGAAUCGUAUCGUGUAAAGUGAUUCGCGUGGCCAUCGAUGUUUGAUCUGUAAAAUCGUGUUCGAACAGAACGAUAGAGGUAGAGAGAGGUUGAUCGUGAAAUGAAUUUUGUACGAGCAGGAUGGUUCGUUUGUUAAAAUCGAGUUCUCGGUAUAUACAUAGAUUUAGUUUGAAUUGUGAAUCGAUUGGAUGAUAUGCCAAAUAAUUUUUUUAUGAAUUUUAUUAAAAAAAGAAAAAAAGACGUUGCAAAGAAUAUAAAUUUCGAAUGAUAAUUAUAUUAAUAAUAUGAGACUAAAUUAUUUACGAAUUUCAUUUGGAUUCCAUCUUACAAAUUUCUAACCUAAAACAUUGAAAGACGAAAUUUUAUUUUUAUAUUGUGUGUAUUCUUACCUUUAUAUCCGACUCAUUGCAUAUUCAUAAAAAUUGUAAUUAUUGAGACUGUUCGCGGUUGAUUAUCAUUAUUCAACAUAGUAGCAAAGAAAUAGAAUCAAGGUUAAAUAUCAUAAUUUGCCACAUUAGCGUCUCUCGAUUCCCAGGAAACGCGGGGAAUUAUUCAAUUGGAAUUGUAUUUGUUAUGGAAAAAGAUGGAAAAAUUUUUUCCUAUGAAGAUAACGCGAAAAGACGAAACUCACUGGUCGAUGCGAGAAAUCAUCGAGAUUGGAGAUUGCUUCUUACACAUAGUGUCUUGUACCUGCAUAUUUAGCUUAUCAAGUCCCGAAAUUUGGAUAAUUUGAAUACGCAGAAAUAAAAUUAUUUUAUAUAAUUUAUCGAAAGAUUUUUAUAAUUUUUUUUUCUUCUUAACGUUUUCUAUGAUUUUCCUUUUUCCAGAUUUCGGGAUUUAUGCGUUUACGUUAAGUUAAGCUAUAGUGAAUAGAUGGUUGCAGUAGGCUAUAGAAAGUGUUACGAUUAUAUAAAGGUUACGAUAGAUGAUAAUUUUUUACUCGUAUUGUUUUCGAUUCUCGCUAAAUGCCACAUUGACGAUUUUAAGAUAGUUACAAAUGAUAGGCUGAAUCGGUUUCACGCUUUUAGCAGAUCUUAACAAACGGGUACCUGGACCACGUUGUUCGUAUGAGUAAAAUGUGCGUUUUCUGCACGUAUUUCUGAUAAUGAGUAUAUUAGAUGUAUCGUAUUGAUUUCUCGCUCCAUUCAUAAAUGUUCAAGUUAUUAUGUUAUUAUAACGUUUAUUAUAAGAGAAAAAUCUAUGUAAUUAAAAUUUAUGAUUUGUACCAAAUAUUAAAUUUUCAUUAAAUAUAAUGAAAGUAUCCUAAGACUUUUGAAUUUUAAUAUUAGAUUUUUUUAAAAUAAUAAUAGAUUAAAAUUUUAUUUUUUUAAUUUAUUCACUCUAUAUAUAUAUUUAGAACCAAAGAAAAAUAGGAUUGUUAUUAACCAACGAAAAUGUUGUUUUCUAACCUCUUUUAUUGUUUUAUCGUUUAAGCAAAGAAUAUAAGAAUAUUGAAACAUGUAAACUUGAUAGAAAUGGCCGCGAUACUGACAACUUUUAUCAUCGGUGUUAUUAAAGCACAUUAUGACCGAAGUAAAAAGCCAGUGCAAUUAAUUCGGUUCAAUCUUUUCCCUGCAACACCUGCCACGAGGCUCACGGUUUUAGAGUCCGGCAACUUUGCGAAUAUAAAGUCUUUCUCUCGCGUGACUGCGGGCAAAUUUAGUUAUGUUAUACGAAACGAUACCAAUCUACGUGUACGUAAUAUCUUUUGUUCGAAAGAAGAAUCGAGAAGUCUGUGAAAUUUAUCUCUUUUUUUCUCUCUCUCUCUCUUUCUUCCUCUUCACAAUUUUCAAAGUUACGCGACACGAUCCAAAUGCAAACUCGAUCCAUUGUAAAAUUAAUCGAAUUUGUUUUUUUUUAGUUUUGGAAUUUGAAAAUUUAAAUACGAUUUAAAUUUUAAUCGGAUUAAAAAAUAAAAUUGAAUUAUUAAAUUCAAUCGAAUGAAAAAUCUGUGAUGUAUUUUCAUUAAAAAUUUGAAGCUAACUGUCGAAUUUAAAUCCGAAAUUGAAAUCCAAUUUAAACUCGGAUUUAAAUUUAAAAUGUUAAAUUGAUAUCCGCUCUUUGUGAAAUGUUCGAUCAAGCGUUUUCGAUCCGUAUAGAGGUUAAGUCGUGUUUUAGUGGCCAACUCAAACCUCCUACGACUCUCUGCAAAACAAGAGCUCUCUGGAAAUAACUGAUUUGCUCUGUGAACCGAAAAAUCUUUGAAUAUUAUUUCGUCCUCGUUAACUAUUCCUGAAACGAUUUUAUUUUUUUCUUCAAUUUCAUCUAAAUUAAUUCAUUUUUAACGCAUCGAUUGUACAAACGUAAAGCUUCUUUGUCUUUCUUCCCUCGUUCAUUAUAUAUAUAUAUAUAAUUUUUUUAAAAUAAAUAAUAAACGUAUAAAAAAAUGUUUUCCUAAAUGUUAAAAAUCUUAGAUAAACGACACACCUAAUACGCUUAUGCGCAGCAUUAUAAGACGAACACGUGCCUCGGUGCCGUAUUUAAUGCCAUUUAAGUACAACAGUAACGCGUCCAACGCUUAAAGCUUAUUAUAUAUUCGAUACAAUGUUACGUUCGCGAUUGCGUUCAAAGAUACUUUAUUAUUCUCGUUCACAAAUCGCACAGUGUCGCGCACGUGUGUUCCAAGGAAUAACUAGUAAUCUCAAGAAUAAUCGAUUGACUAGGAAUAUUUAGCUUUACUCUUUCUUCGAUAAAUUUCCCUUUGACUUUUAAUAUUUACCAGACUAAAUUCGAAAGUUCCUGAAUUGCAUCGAAACCGUGUAAACUUUUGAGAUUUGUUCUUUUAGAGACAAUUACAAAUGUAAUUUUCGUAAUUCAGAUGGUUAAGACAAUUGAAAAUUUCAUUUUAAUUGAAUUUCUUUUUUUUUGUCUGAUUAAAUGAAAUCUUGAAAAAAAUAAAUCAUUAUUUGAAUAAAAAAUGUUUAGAUGAAUUGAAUUAUAUAUUGCAUAAAUCUUAAGAGAGAUUAAAUUUUAAUACUUAUUUUCUUAUGGAAGAAAGUCGAAAUUCUUAGAUUCUUUUGAAAAAGCUAUCUUUAAAACUAUAUUAAAACUUUUGAUUUUUAGAAAUUAAUUGCUCGUGUAUUAAAGAAAAAAGGCAAUUUCUUUUAAAUGUAUAAUACUUCAAUUUUAUUUUAUUACAGUUUUUUUCCUUGUAAAUAUAAUUUUUCAUUGUACAUGUAAGAUUUAUAAAAAUUGAUUUUAUAUCCAAUGUAAUCCACAAUUCGAUCUCAAUUUUUAAUACAAAUAUAGAUUUAAUUUUACACUACACCCUCGUGCUUUCUCUCUCAAAAAGUUCGUUCUGAUGGACCAAUCAUAAUCGUCGCAAUACAUCGUUAUCGCGUCUUUAAAUAACAGAUAUAACAUGUAUAAGAUUCAUCUACCUAUUUAUGUUCGUAUUUCUUUUUUCGCAUAAUGUAUUUUAUGUAUUUUCGUUACGCUUGACGAGCCAUCGAUAAGUGGAAACGUGUUCGAAGCGGAUGAAGAGGCGUUUCGCGGCAAACAGAAGCGUUUACGAGUUGCUACACGUUUAUGUAACGCCUCUGACAAGCGUCAAGCAGUUGUUUUUUUGCACAAAAUCAUUUAUGAGAACGCCAUGACAACGUUCCAUGACGUGGAAAUAUAAUUAAUGCAUCGAUGAUCGCUGAUCGCAGUCUGCCAUUAUUGUUCCUUAUAUAGGAGUCUUAAUGCAUAAAAUGUACGUACGUAAUUUAUUAACUGUUGAUUCAAACUUGAUAUAUGCUACGUAAACUAUGUUACAUUGUAAUGUAAAUAAAUAAGCUAAUGUAAUUAAUAUAAUUUUUACGUGUUAAAUUGUAAAUCUAAUUGUAAUAUGGAUAAUAUAUAAAUAAAUGAAUUUGAUCGUUAAAAUUACUUCUGAUUCAAUUUAUAAUAUCUAUCUAAUGAAAGAAAUAUGAUAUAUAAUAAUAUUCUGAUUGAUUACUUCGUAUUUCCACUUAUGAAAAUGUUAUAAUGUUAUUCCAUGAAAUUAUAUAUUAUAUAUUAUUUAACACGAAUGGAAUAACGUCCCAUUUUAGAGUGAUCGAUGAUACCUGGUGCUUACCUAUACAAAACUGAUUUAAAUUUAAUUAAUAAAAUCAUCGUGAACCAAAAAAGGGAUGUUUUCCUUUCGAUAAAUGGCGGACUGCAGCGAAUAUAUCGAAUAUGAUCUCUGAGAAAGCGAUGAAUGGCGUUUCUUUUUUGAUAAAAAUACAAUUCUAUGACAAAUAAUCUUGCGUUUGCACAACAAAAUACAAUUGCAAAUAUGUACAUUGUUCUCGAUUGCAUGCAUGAAAACUUAAAGUAUGAAAAUACGAAUAACAGAAAAUGAAGGCGGCAGAAUGAUGUUGAUCGGUAUUAAUUAUGAUAAUUGCGUUUAUGUUUAAGUAUUUCGAUAUAUUGGAUUGAUGAUGAAUGGGCGUGAAAAUGAUACGUUUGGAUCCAUUGAAAUAUAUAUUAUCCUCUUCAUGCUGUUGCGCAAUUAUAAAAAUAAUUUUAUUCCUUGAAAAAAAAAAUACAAGUAGAGAAUACUUUUUGUUCACCUAUAUAAAAAGAAAGAUAUGCAAAAAUUAAGAAAAGAUUUUAAGAGUUUAAAUACAGUUAAUAGUUUUUAUAAAAAUUCAUAUAUUCUAUAUAUAUAUUAAAAUUACUUGAUAGUUAUAUAUUUUAAAUUUUUUAUAUAAUAAUACGUACCAAUUGUUUGUGUUAAUAUCUUCAUUAUAUAUUCACUUAAUAUCAUAGGAACUUCUUAAAUUGAAAAACUGUAUUCUUUACAUUGAAGUGCUUCUAAGUGCUUCCUGAAAAAAAUUUUCUAUUAGUAAAAAAUGAAUAUUUAUUAUACUUGUAUAUAAUUAAGUCAUUUUUUUCCUUUAAUUUUUCGAAUUUGAAUUAAUGAAAAAUUGAGUUAAAAAGAAGUAACAAAAGAAAGAAAAUGGCUUAAUUAAUUUAUCGUUAAAAUAAUCGAUUUCUCCUGAAAUGUCAUCAUUUAUAAUCGCGUGUUGACUUUUCACAAAAUUCUCUGAAAUUUUAGCGAGCGUGAAAAGAACGAGGAAAUCGAAUGGAAAUCGUAAAAGAAAGAGCGUGACGAGGAUAAUAAUGAGCGAUUCGAUCGAUCCUAUCGUUUCUAGUGAAAUGGCCGCGAUAUAAUAUAUAUAUAUCUAUAUAUAGUAUAUACUAUAUAUAUGUACUAUAUAUAGAUAUAUAAGUACUUAAGAAGAUUCGUGAUUCGUGAAAUUCAACGGCUCGUUAAAUUGAAUUCCACCUUGGAAUAGGAAUGAUGCUCGCCUCGACGAGAUUGUUAUCGUUGUACCUAAAAAAAAAAAAAAAAUUAUAGAUAUUAACAUAAAAGAGACACAAAGAACACACAUUGUCGUUCUCUCACUAUUUAUUGUAUUGUAACGCGAUGGGUAUGAUCAUAUACCGGAAAAUAAAACUAUUAUUACUCUAAA
Apis mellifera (honey bee) is the source of this 9356-nucleotide RNA transcript. RefSeq lists it as uncharacterized. Lineage: Eukaryota; Metazoa; Arthropoda; Insecta; Hymenoptera; Apidae. The transcript is spliced from 10 exons. The record is from RefSeq and is a predicted model, not a curated record.